Molecule: ribosomal RNA, 496 nt
Filed under: uncultured Sphingomonadales bacterium
Lineage: Bacteria; Pseudomonadati; Pseudomonadota; Alphaproteobacteria; Sphingomonadales
Description: bacterial SSU rRNA
Rfam family: Bacterial small subunit ribosomal RNA
Source: RNAcentral
CGAGACCUUCGGGUCUAGUGGCGCACGGGUGCGUAACGCGUGGGAAUCUGCCCUUAGGUACGGAAUAACUCAGAGAAAUUUGUGCUAAUACCGUAUGAUGUCGAAAGACCAAAGAUUUAUCGCCUAAGGAUGAGCCCGCGUAAGAUUAGCUUGUUGGUGAGGUAAAAGCUCACCAAGGCGACGAUCUUUAGCUGGUCUGAGAGGAUGAUCAGCCACACUGGGACUGAGACACGGCCCAGACUCCUACGGGAGGCAGCAGUGGGGAAUAUUGGACAAUGGGCGAAAGCCUGAUCCAGCAAUGCCGCGUGAGUGAUGAAGGCCUUAGGGUUGUAAAGCUCUUUUACCAGGGAUGAUAAUGACAGUACCUGGAGAAUAAGCUCCGGCUAACUCCGUGCCAGCAGCCGCGGUAAUACGGAGGGAGCUAGCGUUGUUCGGAAUUACUGGGCGUAAAGAGUACGUAGGCGGUUAUUCAAGUCAGAGGUGAAAGCCUGGAGCU